Molecule: long non-coding RNA, 5408 nt
Filed under: Papio anubis (olive baboon)
Lineage: Eukaryota; Metazoa; Chordata; Mammalia; Primates; Cercopithecidae
Description: lncRNA (ENSPANG00000044507.1)
Source: RNAcentral
GGGGAGAGUUGAUAUUGGAACCAAAUUCCAAAUCAGAAUUUGAGAUUAUUGUUGAGGUCAAACAUUGAAUGCUACCUGUACUUUUGAUAACUGUCUGAUUGAUUUGUUUCUGAUCCAAGUAUUUAUCCAAAGAUAUUUUUGAUUCAGAUUUCUGUUUAAUGUGAUGAAUUUGUAAUAGAAAAUUUUUUGGAAAAUUAGAGGAGUUACCCCUGUCAUUUUGUGUUGGUCAAAUACAAAUUAUUUUCUUUUAAACAUUUUCUCCUUUUUUUCUUUUCUUUUCUUUUUUUUUUUUUUAGACAUGGCUUCGCUCUGCUACCCAGCCUGAAGUGGCAAAAUCAUAGCUCACUGCAGGCUCAAACUCCUGAGCUGGGACUACAGGCAUGGGCCACCAUGCCAGCUAAUUUUUUAAUUUUUGUAGAGAUGGGGGUCUUGCUAUGUUGCCCAGCCUGGUCUGGAACUCCUGGCCUCAAGUGAUCCUCCCUUCUCAGCCUCCCAAAGUGCUGGGAUCUUAUUUCAUCUUUAAAAAUAACCCAAGUAACACCCAAUUAAUAGGACGUGUUUUACUGGUUGGAGAAAGUGUUUGUGUCACUAAAUGGGGCAUAGGCCACCUUUGCAAGGCAGUCCCUCCUUUAUUGUCCAAGACAGCAGAGAUACAGAAGGCUGGAUGUAGACCCAACAGCCUGGUGUCCCCCGCGUCGUCUGGGGCCCCCACCAGGCAGUUCCAGAAGCCGUCUCCAUGGCCUGCUUGUUUAAGGCAUCCACUGUGAACAGACCUUAGGAGGGCCAAGCAGGGAAGAUGUAUAUAAGCACCAAAGGCCAGGACUGUGUCCUAGUGGGCAUAGCCUCUUCCAGACUUAGGUGAGUUCUUGGGGGGAUCAAAAAAGAGAGACCUGCUGAAGUUGCAAAGGCAUCUACUGGGCGAUAGCAUAAUCAGGGAUGAGGGCAGAGGGAUGGGACUGAUCAUGAGAAAGGCAUCUUAGCCUGAUCACAUUCUCCAAAAGUGGCACAUUCUCCAAAUUUUUCAACAACUAUUCAAAGGCUGUAUGUUUACUUACUAGUGGUUAGAACCAUGCAGGAGGAUAUGAAAAAAGUGACUUAUUAAUGUGCAAUUGAAACAUCAGCAGCCAGACCAGGAGACACAUUAAGAAGGUAAGCAAACGCUGGCUGCUUGUCUUGUGCCUCCCUCCUUGCCCUGCUCCUAACUUUGGAACAUGGCUCUUUCUGCAGCUGAGACCCCCUGGCACAUCCUCCUGCUGAAUCUUACUGCCAUUUUGCAGGCACUCCAAAAUCUUCAUCUAAAUAUCCAUGUGAGAAACCAGCCAUGAUGAGGACUCCCCAAGGCCACCCAGGGAAACUUCACUCAGAGAAAACAGGAGACAUUCCAAGUGUUGGACUGGAACAAUAAACCUCUCAAUGUCAAAGAAGCCCUGCUUCUCUUUGUACUCUCCAUAGGCUUGGGAAAGCCCUCCCUCCCUCCCCAGGGAGGGUGGGUGUGACAGAUUGUUGGAUAGGUGAUGACUGAUAGCACCAAGAGAGGAAUCAUUGCCUUGUGCCUGUGGCCAGGUGCUCUUGUCUCCGGCUCACCAGCUCUCAACAACAUCACUCAGGAUAGAGCAAAGACCAAAGCUGUGCUGUAUCACUAUCUCCACUCUACAUUUUCUCUAUGCUGGUGAUAGGAGCAUCCUGUUUCUGGGUGUCAUUUUAGUACUAAAAAGGGUCUUUCAGUGUGUUUCUUCUGGGUGCCCAGUCUCUCUUGUCAUGGCAGACCAGAGAAGGAAUUUCACCAGGUACGGGCCUUCCUUCAAAGAGGUCACAACAUCCCAGAAACUCACCCACCAUAAUGGAACACAGCAGGUAGCACUUGACUGACUUGAGCAGGGGGCACAAGUGCUUUGGGGGUAGAGGGACAGGAGUGAUCGAUUCUGCUUGGAGAUAAGAGAGAAAGGGAAGUGUUUUCAAAAUGUAACCUGGGUCAUACUGUGAACACGUUGUUUUAUCUUACAUUUAAUUUCUUAAUUUUGUAAGUCCAUAUUCUCUUAAAUUUUAUUGAAAGUAUAAAGCAGAAGCUAUCCAAAAACUUUUGUUUCCCUAGAUAAAUGUUUUUCAAAAUAUUGAUUUUUUUCUGCAUCUUUAGUUGUGUUCUUCUCUUAAGCUACAGGCCCAUCUUUUAUUCUUUUUACUCAAUCAAUUGCUCCAUAUUCUCUCUCUUUCUCUCCUUCACUUCCUUCCUCUCUUUUUCUCUUUUCUUCUCCCUUCCACCUCCUUAUUCUCCUUCUUUAUCCAUGAACAAAAAGGACUCUAUCCAUGUCUAGUGUUUGCCUAGACCACUGGUAAAUCCAUGCCAAUCCAUGCCAUUGGUAAUCCAUUGGUAGACUUUCCCUGGCCCCUUCAUGUAAUAGUUACCUUGCUUUGUGAUAAACCAUUUUUUCCAGAGCUUGCGGGAGGUUGGUAUCAGUUAGCUUUGCUGUGUAACAAAUCACCCAGAUCUCAGUGGCUUAAGAUAUCAAUGACUUAUUAUUGCUCAUAUCUUGGGUCUACUGGGAUUUGGCUGAUGAAAGCUUGGCUCAGCUGAGGGCCCUGCUUCAGGUAUCUUGGCAGCUGUUUCCCACUGCAGCUCUGAUGGUUGGGUGGGGCAACCCUACGUCAUACAGGCUUCAUCCUUCAUUGACCAGUGCACUGACCUGGUCAUGUUUAUCAUAUUAUAGUGAUGAUAGAGGUACCAAAUAACAAGCAAAAACAUGAGUCUAGGCUCAGAGUGGCAUACUGUCACUUCCGCCCAUAUAUCAUUAUCCAAAACAAGUCACACGGCCAAGCCCAAAUUCAAGAAGCAUGAAACUCCAUUCUGCCAUUCUGCCCAUGGAGAUACUGUGAGAGCUAUGGAGCCACUAGGAGAGGAUGCAUACAGGAUAGGGUAAGAAGUUAAGGACAAUAAUGCAAUCACCCACAGUGGUUCCAAGAUAAAUAAGAGAUCUAGUGACUUGGAGUCUACCUUCAAUGGGUCAAGAGAAAAGACUGAGAAGGGAUUCUCCAAGAGAAGGAAGGGUACAAGACCGGAGUGAAAUGCAGUUCAGGCUAGCAUUGCUUGUUUUUCUACUUGCUCCAGGCUUCACUGAUCCUCCCAGGAACCGCUCAGAGCCUGCUCCUCUCAGGCUUUCCUGGGGGUAAGCCCAGUUCCAAUCUACUGAUUCUUGCUUUCUUCUGGAGUCUUGCAAAGAAAACCCAUAACAGAAUGAAUGAUUUCCGAGCUAGCCUAACAAGCCAAGUAGACCCCUCAGUUUGCAUGUGGAUCAGCUUUUACACAGCUGAGUGCGUUUGUCAACUGUGACUCUCUGGAAGUGUCCAUUUUAGUGCAAGUAUCUGCUCACCAACUGGUACUCAUAAACAACUCCCUAAUGGGCUCAUCAAGGCAAUGAGCAGAAAUUUUUGCACAGAAUAAAAAAUAGUCUCGCUGGGUGCGGUGGUUCAUGCUUGUGAUCGCAGCACUUUGGGAGGCCGAGGCGGGUGGAUCACGAGGUCAGGAGAUCUAGACCAUCCUGGCUAACACGGUGAAACCCCAUCUCUACUAAAAAUACAAAAAAUUAGCCGGGCGUGGUGGCGGGCGCCUGUAGUCCCAGCUACUCAGGAGGCUGAGGCAGAAGAAUGACGUGAACCCGGGAGGCGGAGCUUGCAGUGAGCCUAGAUCGCGCCACUGCACUCCAGCCCAGGCGACAGAGCGAGACUCCGUCUAAACAAACAACAACAAAAAAAGUCUCCUCAAGGGACAGAGCCCAGCCUCCAUUCCGUAUUCCAAGGGCUUGGUCUCCAGUCCCCGUUGUGUCAGAAAAUGCCACUCACUGGUUGGAACACAAAGACUUUCUUUAAAGAAAACCACAUUUAAUGCAAACAGUGUGUUCUACCUGCUUAGAAAGUCAUGGAGGUAUUGUGAUGAAAAGAAAACUAGAGAUUAUCUAGUCAAAAGUCGGCAAGCCUUUCUGUAAAGGGCAAGAGAGUAAAAAUGUUAGGCUUUGUGGGCCAUACAAUCUCUGUUGCAGUGACUCAACUCUUGCUGUUAUAGUGUAAAAACAGCUCUAGACAAUAUGUAAACAAAUGAGCGUGGCUGUGCUCAAUAAAACUUUGUUUACAAAAAUAACUGGCAGGUCAAAUUUGAUCCACUGGCAGGGCUAUAAUUGACUAAACUCUGCUCUGAUCUAACCUCCCAUUUUACAGAUUUGGCAACUGAGAACAUUGAGGCUUCUUGUCCUGCUGUUACUGAACCUGCAUCACACCUGCACUGUGGCAAUGGUCUUUUGGUACUGACUGUGCUCCUUUGCAGGGCUCUACCAGGCUGCGAGGCCCCAGGAUGAGGGUGCUGAGGGGUUGGUGCCUUGGCCUUGAUGGUUGUGAAACAAUUAAAAUAUCACCCUUACUUGUUUAUGUUCAAGGCUUCCUACAAGACAGAUCUUCUUGACCUUGGAGACCUGGAAUCAUCCAUCUUGUAACCCCAGUGACUUCCCGGCUCAGCCUCUGGUGCAUAGCAAGGGCACAGUCAAAAUGAAUGAAUGAGGCCCAGCGAGCAGGAGUGACUUGACCAAGGUGCCACCGUCUGCUUAGCAGCAGCACAGGGACCAGAAUCCAGGACAUGGCAUUGCAAGGUAAUCUUUGCUCAUGCAAAGUAAUCUGCUAUUGGUUAGAUAUAAAGCUGGGUAAGCGGUUGAAUAAUUGCAAAAAUAAUAGUUAAUUCAUCAACAAAUACCUACCCAAAGCACCUGCAAGUUGGGAGGCCCUAAGCCAAAUGCUGCAGGCGGGGAAGGGCUAGCCUGCAAGGAGGCUGCAGUACCAGAGGAGACACAUGCAAAUAGCUCUAAGCCUAGUGCUCAUUUCUAGCUAUAGAAUAGAUUCUGGAAGAAUAUGGUUAACUUUUAUUUUCUACUUAUCUCUGCCUUGUGCUCCACUAUAUGUACACAGUAAGUCCUCGCUUCACAUUGUCAAUAGGCUGUUGGAAACUGCAACUUUAAGGAAAACUAUGUGCAGUAGAUCUUCAAAUAACAUCGUUUCUUCUUUUUAUUGUAAUGUUGACGAGGAAAAAAUUGGUUUUGUUAUAUGUUGUUUCACUUGAAGUUUUCAUUUUCAAGAAUCUAUUGAUGAUGUUAAAUGAGUAUUUACUGUAAUUACACACACACACUGCACCCACCACACACACACACUUAUCACACACACACCACACACACACCACACACACACACACUGAACCCACACACCAAACACACACCACACACUACAAACAUCACACACACACACCACACACAUAACACACCAAACACACACCAUUACACACACACAAUUUCACAUAUACAUCUGCACCUACCUACAAUAUUAAUUCUCCUGUACAUAAUAAUAAUACAAUUCACAAUACACUGGAACCUACAAUU